CAAGAAAAGAUGGAGGGAUAAAGACGGAGAGAAAAUGAAAACUGAGUGGGAAGUGGAGGGGGGAGGGAUGGAGGGAUGGAGGGAUGGAGGGAUGGAGAGAAGGAGCGAGUGGAACGUGAAGGAGGCUCGGAGAGAGAAGUCCGCCAUUAGAAAAGUCAAGCCGGAGAUUUACGGAGCGAAGACGGAGCUGGAAAGAUCAAGCGAUGUGGAAAAUGACUAUCGUCGUUGAUUUGUCUUUUCAUCCAUCGUUUAUUGUCAUUUUUAAAUUGUUUAUUUGUCAGUUGAUUUAUAUUUUUUAAUGUGUGGAUUUGUUGCUUUUCUCCGUUUUAGAUUAAAUGUAUUUGGGAGAACGAGACGACCGAUCACGUCACUUCGGUCUGAAUCGCUGGUGGAGUUUAUUCACUAUGCAUAAGACUUAUUACGAUUCAUUUAAGUUUUCUAAUCACUUUUUAACGAUGAGUCAAUCAAGAGUAAAUGGAUCAAUAAUUUAAUCAUCCGGUUAGACGAGGGGAUUCGUCUGCCCGGAUGUGUAGAACUUCCUCCUGGUUGAGGAAAGAGUUAAGAUUAUUAAACAUAUCAAAUGUACAGUAGAGUCUAAUUACAUAAACAUAUAAUCCAAUAUGUUCCUGCCUCAUACACGGGAAACUGCACACCUUGAUCAAUAAUGAUUAAUUAAUAUGUUAUUUUAACUGGGUUAUUAAAAGCUGCUCCACGAUUCACCGUAACUCCUGCAGGGGCCACAAGAGGGCAGUAGAUGUACAGCUCAAACCGGUCACACCGCCACCUGUCUCUCAUUCUGUCUGUCUGUCUGUCUGUCUGUCUGUCUGUCUGUCUAUCUGUCUCUCUCUGUCUGUCUGUCUGUCUGUCUGUCUGUCUAUCUGUCUCUCUCUGUCUGUCUCUCUCUGUCUGUCUGUCUGUCUGUCUGUCUAUCUGUCUCUCUGUCUGUCUGUCUAUCUGUCUCUGUCUGUCUGUCUGUCUGUCUGUCUGUCUGUCUGUCUGUCUGUCUAUCUGUCUCUCUCUCUCUGUCUGUCUGUCUGUCUGCCCUGUCUGUCUAUCUGUCUCUCUCUGUCUGUCUGUCUGUCUGUCUGUCUAUCUGUCUCUGUCUGUCUGUCUGUCUGUCUGUCUGUCUGUCUGUCUGUCUGUCUGUCGAUCUAAUUCCAUCGUCUUCUUUCUCUUCUUGUCUUUGUCCUUUAUCCUUCAGAUUUACUUUCAUUCAGCUUCACAACGCUGGAGGGAGAAGAGGCAGGAGAGGUUCCCUGAUCGGUUGCAUGGUCACAUCCCAGGAAUUCAGUCCGGAGACACGUUCUACCCUCUGACGCCACCUCACGCCAGAACCAGAUGUGAACAUCCUGAACAACCUGUUGAUAUGCAACAGGCUCCACUCGGCUGGGAUCAUCAGACAUGCUCUGGGAUUUGA
RNAcentral lists this long non-coding RNA (1417 nucleotides) under Scophthalmus maximus (turbot). RNAcentral describes it as "lncRNA (ENSSMAG00000026152.1)". The record is from RNAcentral. Lineage: Eukaryota; Metazoa; Chordata; Actinopteri; Pleuronectiformes; Scophthalmidae.